GGCAGUGGAAGAGUGUGUUAGUGUGUUCAGAGGAGGAGAGCGUGGAGCACUAUGCUGAAGACCUCUACAGACCAGAGACUACGCUGAAGUCUGUCUGUUGAACAAGAGCUGCCAGAACUAUGAUAACCAUGAGGUUGCGAUCACUUCCCCUCACAACACUUUUAACAGUGCUGCUGUGGUGUUUCCAUGGCAACACCGGGCUGGAGAUCAUCCCCGGCGACGCUGAGGUCAUCCUCAAGACUGACUCCGCCCACUCCAUCACCUGCACGGGUUCUGCACCUGUCACCUG
Molecule: long non-coding RNA, 289 nt
Organism: Alosa alosa (allis shad)
Lineage: Eukaryota; Metazoa; Chordata; Actinopteri; Clupeiformes; Clupeidae
Exons: 3
Source: RefSeq, a predicted model, not a curated record